Molecule: ribosomal RNA, 471 nt
Filed under: uncultured bacterium
Lineage: Bacteria
Description: bacterial SSU rRNA
Rfam family: Bacterial small subunit ribosomal RNA
Source: RNAcentral
GACGAACGUUGGCGGUGCGCUUAAUGCAUGCAAGUCGAACGAGAACUGGUUCAUUCGUAAGAAUGUUCCAGGGACAGUGGCGAACGGGUGCGUAACACGUGAGAAACCUGCCCUGGAGAUCGGGAUAGCCCGAGGAAACUCGGAUUAAUACCGAAUGCCUUCACCGAGUCGCAUGGCUCUAUGAAGAAAUGGUCCGCCGCUCCAGGAUGGUCUCGCGGCCUAUCAGCUUGUUGGUGAGGUAACGGCUCACCAAGGCAACGACGGGUAGCUGGUCUGAGAGGACGAUCAGCCACACUGGGACUGAGACACGGCCCAGACUCCUACGGGAGGCAGCAGCAGGGAAUAUUGCACAAUGGGCGAAAGCCUGAUGCAGCGACACCGCGUGCGGGAUGAAGGCCUUCGGGUUGUAAACCGCUUUCAGGAGGGACGAAAAUGACGGUACCUCCAGAAGAAGGCCCGGCCAACUAUGUG